UGGGCAUUUGGUGCUAGAAAUGUUGUAUCUUUGGCUGGUUUUUGGUGCCUUACAAUUUAGGUGUGUGGUUGGUGUUUGUGGUAUGUAUUGAGAAUGGGUAGUUUUGGUUUGUUUGUGGUUGCCAUAUAUUACAGCUGUGUUGACAUCGCUACUAGGAUGUCGUCCUUUAUGAUUAGGUAUGGUAACUAGCAGCUUUCUCAAUUUUGUUGUUCUUGUUGUUGUUCGUCGAAGAGGCCUGCUAUUACUUUCUUUUUGGGUGUUUUUUUGGUCCCUGUAUAUGCUUCUUCCGGUGCCUGCUGGUCGUUACUAUGUGUGUUUUAUUGGCCUUGCAGUGCUUCUGUUUUGAGGCACAGUGUAUUUUGUGCUUUGUGAAUUUGAGAAUAAGCUUUGUUAAUCAGAUAUAUAGAAGUAUACAUCUUUUAGUUUUAUGUGAAACUGUAUUGGUGUGUGUGUGUUUCUAGAUUCUUUCUUUGAUAUAAACUGUGAUUCUUCUAUAGAAAAUCAAAAGAUAGUUAAGAUUAAGUGGUUACCAGGGAGCCGAAGAAUGUUGGAAUUGAAUAGUAUUAAGUAUAAUUGCUCUAUUUUAAGUUUGAACAGGUACAAUGUAAGAAACAAGAUGGUGGCAGGUCUUGUCUUCUCUACUUUUCUUCUGUUUUGUGGUUUGCAAGUGUUAUUUAUUUACUUCAUCUUACAUUUGGCUUCAGGUAUAUCCUUGCUACUCUCAAGGCAACGUGAUUCUCUCCUCUCCACACGUUGAACCAGUUUCAUGUGCUCUCAUGGCCAAAGGGUUGCAUGUGUUGGAAACAAUCUUAAUCUGCUGGUUUUGAGUAUUAAAAGCUAAGGUAAAAUUAGUAAUUUCAAUUCCACUCUCUUUCCCUCUUUUUAUGAACACUAAACUCACCCUUAAAGCCUUCACUCAUUUGGGGUCAAUUGCAUGUACACAUACUCUGUAAAUUGGGGUAAUUGAAAGUGUUAGGGAACUGAUUGAAAUGGAGAAAAGAAUUGAAGGUCGGAGCUUGGAAGGACUGUUGAUGGAACAAGAAAACAAGAGGAAUUGCUUAAGUUGUGUAAAAUCCGUAUUUGGGACAGGGCUCCACUCAAACGAGUUAUAUUGAGGUCUAGGCAUGAUUUCGAAGUGGAGGGUCUGAAGCUGAGUUUGUGCAGGAAUAUGGACUGUUCGUGAAGGCAUGCUUUCGAAUUUUGGCUUUAUCAAUGCUUAGCAAUGCAUUUAAUGCUCAGUAAUUCAUAUACUGAUUAGUUUAAAUGUAAAUUAUAUUUGGAUUUGAAGAUAUCCAUUGUAUUCUAGUAACUUGUAAAGAGAUUUGAGUAGCAUAUUUUCUAACCAAUACUUUUGUAUGGUACCUCUUCGAAUGUCUUAUGUGGUGUUUAAUUAUAAUCAAUGAAAUUUGUUGGCUCUUUUUUUUUUU
Molecule: long non-coding RNA, 1427 nt
Organism: Trifolium pratense (red clover)
Lineage: Eukaryota; Viridiplantae; Streptophyta; Magnoliopsida; Fabales; Fabaceae
Exons: 3
Source: RefSeq, a predicted model, not a curated record